AGAGUUUGAUCCUGGCUCAGAGUUAACGCUGGCAUCGUGCAUAACACAUGCAAGUCGAACGGGACUUGGUUUGUAGCAAUACAGAAUUAAGUUAGUGGCAGACGGGUGAGUAAUGUAUAAGGAACCUACCUCUGAGUGGGGAAUAACAGUCCGAAAGGAUUGCUAAUACCCCAUAACAUAACUAGGUGGCAUCACUUAGUUAUCAAAGAUUUAUCGCUUGGAGAUGGUCUUAUAUUCUAUCAGCUAGUUGGCAGUGUAACGGACUACCAAGGCUACGACGGAUAGCCGGCCUGAAAGGGCGACCGGCCACAAGGGCACUGAGACACGGGCCCUACUCCUACGGGAGGCAGCAGUGGGGAAUUUUGGACAAUGGGCGCAAGGCCCUGAUCCAGCAACGAUGCGUGGAGGACGAAGGUUUUCGGAUUGUAAACUCCUUUUGUGAGGGAAGAAACAAAUGACGGUACCUCACGAAUAAGCCACGGCUAACUACGUGCCAGCCGCCGC
RNAcentral lists this ribosomal RNA (504 nucleotides) under uncultured bacterium. RNAcentral describes it as "bacterial SSU rRNA". It matches the Rfam family "Bacterial small subunit ribosomal RNA", at positions 8 to 518 of the family's 1533-position model. The record is from RNAcentral.